GACCACAUCACGUUGAAACACCGGUUUCAUACGAUCACUAAAGUUAAGCAACGUCGAACCUGAUUAGUACCUAGAUGAGUGACCGCUUGGGAAUAUCAGGUGCUGUAAG
Molecule: non-coding RNA, 109 nt
Organism: Acanthosepion pharaonis
Lineage: Eukaryota; Metazoa; Mollusca; Cephalopoda; Sepiida; Sepiidae
Source: the annotation of a GenBank genome assembly